UUUUUUUACGAGGUAUCAGCACUUUUCUUUCAUUAGUGGGCAAGGAAGGAUGAAAACUACAAAACAGCAGUAGACUUUUAAAGUUUAAAUAGACAGGUCUGAAAGCCUGAACUUGCUUUUCCAUUUUAGCUCACUCUUCCAAAGAGGCACUUGUUUGCUUGCUUCUCUGAUCAUCAGCAGGGGUAAGUUGGAAAGUUUUU
This 200-nucleotide non-coding RNA is filed under the name Chelonia mydas (Green sea turtle). RNAcentral describes it as "Connexin-43 internal ribosome entry site (IRES)". It matches the Rfam family "Connexin-43 internal ribosome entry site (IRES)". Rfam says of the family: This family represents the connexin-43 internal ribosome entry site (IRES) which allows cap independent translation during conditions such as heat shock and stress. Lineage: Eukaryota; Metazoa; Chordata; Testudines; Cheloniidae. The record is from Rfam by way of RNAcentral.